GAUGAACGCUGGCGGCGUGCUUAACACAUGCAAGUCGAACGAUGAUGCCCAGCUUGCUGGGUGGAUUAGUUGCGAACGGGUGAGUAACACGUGAGUAACCUGCCCUUGACUCUGGGAUAAACCAGGGAAACUGGGUCUAAUACCGGAUACGACCAUCUGGCGCACGUCAUGGUGGUUGAAAGUUUUUGUGGUUUUGGUUGGACUCGCGGGCUAUCAGCUUGUUGGUGGGGUAAUGGCCUACCAAGGCGACGACGGGUAGCCGGCCUGAGAGGGUGAGCGGGCACACUGGGACUGAGAGACGGAGCAGAAGCCUACGGGAGGCAGCAGUGGGGAAUAUUGCACAAUGGGCGCAAGCCUGAUGCAGCGACGCCGCGUGAGGGAUGACGGCCUUCGGGUUGUAAACCUCUUUCAGUAGGGAAGAAGCGAAAGUGACGGUACCUGCAGAAGAAGCGCCGGCUAACUACGU
RNAcentral lists this ribosomal RNA (466 nucleotides) under uncultured bacterium. RNAcentral's name for it is "partial 16S ribosomal RNA". It matches the Rfam family "Bacterial small subunit ribosomal RNA", at positions 28 to 506 of the family's 1533-position model. The record is from RNAcentral.